GGCGGCUUAGCUCAGUCGGUAGAGCGAUGGAAUCAUAAUCCACAGGUCGAGGGUUCGAGUCCCCCAGCCGCCACCA
Molecule: transfer RNA, 76 nt
Filed under: Lentisphaerota bacterium
Lineage: Bacteria; Pseudomonadati; Lentisphaerota
Description: Lentisphaerae bacterium (feces metagenome) tRNA-Met
Rfam family: tRNA
About the family: Transfer RNA (tRNA) molecules are approximately 80 nucleotides in length. Their secondary structure includes four short double-helical elements and three loops (D, anti-codon, and T loops).
Source: RNAcentral